This 207-nucleotide ribosomal RNA is filed under the name uncultured bacterium. RNAcentral describes it as "partial 16S ribosomal RNA". It matches the Rfam family "Bacterial small subunit ribosomal RNA", at positions 568 to 774 of the family's 1533-position model. The record is from RNAcentral.
CACGUAGGCGGUUUCCUAAGUCAGAGGUGAAAUCCAGUGGCUCAACCACUGGCCUGCCUUUGAAACUGGGGAACUUGAGGCCGUGAGAGGAAAGCGGAAUUCCUGGUGUAUCGGUGAAAUGAGUUGAUAUCAGGAGGAACACCGGUGGCGAAGGCGGCUUUCUGGUGCGGUUCUGACGCUGAGGUGCGAAAGCAUGGGGAGCAAACG